This 481-nucleotide ribosomal RNA is filed under the name uncultured bacterium. RNAcentral's name for it is "partial 16S ribosomal RNA". It matches the Rfam family "Bacterial small subunit ribosomal RNA", at positions 30 to 507 of the family's 1533-position model. The record is from RNAcentral.
UUGAACGCUGGCGGCAUGCCUUACACAUGCAAGUCGAACGGUAACGGGCCUUCGGGUGCCGACGAGUGGCGAACGGGUGAGUAAUACAUCGGAACGUGCCCGAUCGUGGGGGAUAACGAGGCGAAAGCUUUGCUAAUACCGCAUACGAUCUACGGAUGAAAGCAGGGGACCGCAAGGCCUUGCGCGGACGGAGCGGCCGAUGGCAGAUUAGGUAGUUGGUGGGAUAAAAGCUUACCAAGCCGACGAUCUGUAGCUGGUCUGAGAGGAUGAUCAGCCACACUGGGACUGAGACACGGCCCAGACUCCUACGGGAGGCGGCAGUGGGGAAUUUUGGACAAUGGGCGCAAGCCUGAUCCAGCCAUGCCGCGUGCAGGAUGAAGGCCUUCGGGUUGUAAACUGCUUUUGUACGGAACGAAAAGCCUUCUUUUAAUACAGGAGGGUCAUGACGGUACCGGAAGAAUAAGCACCGGCUAACUACGUG